GAUGAACGCUGGCGGCGUGCCUAAUACAUGCAAGUCGAGCGAACAGACGAGGAGCUUGCUCCUUUGACGUUAGCGGCGGACGGGUGAGUAACACGUAGGUAACCUACCUAUAAGACUGGGAUAACUUCGGGAAACCGGAGCUAAUACCGGAUAAUAUUUCGAACCGCAUGGUUCGAUAGUGAAAGAUGGCUUUGCUAUCACUUAUAGAUGGACCUGCGCCGUAUUAGCUAGUUGGUAAGGUAACGGCUUACCAAGGCAACGAUACGUAGCCGACCUGAGAGGGUGAUCGGCCACACUGGAACUGAGACACGGUCCAGACUCCUACGGGAGGCAGCAGUAGGGAAUCUUCCGCAAUGGGCGAAAGCCUGACGGAGCAACGCCGCGUGAGUGAUGAAGGUCUUCGGAUCGUAAAACUCUGUUAUUAGGGAAGAACAAACGUGUAAGUAACUGUGCACGUCGUGACGGUACCUAAUCAGAAAGCAACGGCUAACUACGUG
RNAcentral lists this ribosomal RNA (497 nucleotides) under uncultured bacterium. RNAcentral's name for it is "partial 16S ribosomal RNA". It matches the Rfam family "Bacterial small subunit ribosomal RNA", at positions 28 to 507 of the family's 1533-position model. The record is from RNAcentral.